RNAcentral lists this long non-coding RNA (2128 nucleotides) under Heterocephalus glaber (naked mole-rat). RNAcentral's name for it is "lncRNA (ENSHGLG00000040577.1)". The record is from RNAcentral. Lineage: Eukaryota; Metazoa; Chordata; Mammalia; Rodentia; Bathyergidae.
CCAGCCAAUUAUAUUUCCCAGUUUCCAGGGAAGACAUCCUCUCCACUUCUCCAUUUCUCUUCCUGGAAGGGUUAAUCCCUAGGAUUACAGCUUCUUUAAAAAAGCACAGCUUCCUAGAAGGGGGAUCAUCAUAGAUGUGAUUCAGGAUAUAACCUCCAACCUCUGGGGAAGAUGGAGAGAAGAACCACCAGUCCUGCAGGUGACUUGGGGCCAGGUUCCCCUCACCCAACUUGGUACGGGCAGUGGAUCAUAAAACCUCUUCUUAUUGUCUGAUAAAAGGCUUUUGAGCUCUUCGGGAGCAGCCUUACAAGCUCUUGAAGACAAAGGAGAGAGGUGACAGAGAAAACGCUGGGUGUUCCAUGCUGGGAAUCUACAAGCUGAAUGGAGUAGAGAGAGGAGCGAUCCAGCCUCGGGGCGCAGCUCCUUUCCUUGUGGCCAGGGUUACCCAAGAAGUUCGGAUCCAGCUGGGAUGUGGUCUUCCACGGGGCUCCCAGGAUCCUUGUCUCUCCCACUCACUGCUUCUCGCUGUCUGCUGUCUGAGUGCAGUUUGGGUAUUCCCAGUUCUGCCUGUGACUGACUCUUGGCUUCUCUGACUUCCCCUUUCUUUCUCCUCCCUUUCCUUGCUAAGCAUAUCCACUGUCUGCUUCCAUUUUUACUAGUUAGCCCAAUAAGUUCCAAAAUCCACCUCUAUCUCUGUUGCUAGGCCAACAUUCCCAACAGCCUGCUGUUUUCUGUCAAUUCUGAUGAACUAAUUCAGGUUGAACCUUUUGCUCCACGCCCUCUUAACAAUAUACCCUCUUCUGGAUUUCCCAGUUUUGUAAACUAGACUGUCUUUCAGUGACCCACAUAUGAAACCCCAGAGUCCUCUUGACAUUUUUAUUGGCCCUCACAUCCAAACAGACAUAAGCCAGAGGGACCCAGAGGACAGGCAAGGAAGGUCCAAGCUAUCUCGAGUAUUUGUUGUCUAACCCUGGCAAGUUGCUUAGCCUCUGUAAUCCUGGAUUCCUAAGAGAGUUUUGAUUCACAUUUUUCCAUCUCCUGGCUGCAACACAAAAUCACAGAGCUAAUAAUAUAUUGUUUGAGUAAUAUCCUUUCUCUUUAAGGGUAUUAAAUUGUUUCUUUUAAAUUAUUCUUUAUAAUUGUGGUAAAACACAUAAUAUAGUUUGCCAUCUUAACCUUUUUAAAGUAUACAGUUCAGUGGCAUUAAGUAUAUUUACAUUAUUAUGGAAGCAUCACCACUAACCACCUCCAGAACUCUUUCAUCAUAUGAAACUCUGAUCCCAUUACAUAACUUCUCAUUCUGCUUUCCCCUGGUCUCUGAUACUCCCAUUCCACUCCGUAUGAAUCAGACUACUCUAGGUACCUACUGUAUGUGGGAUCAUACAACAUUUGUUCUUCUGUAACUGGCUUAUUUGACAUAGUAUAACGCCUUCACAGUUUAACUGUGUUGUGAUAUGUAUCAGAAUUUCGUUCCUUUUCACCAGAGAUGUAGCUCAGUGGCACAGUACCUGCCUGGCAAGUGUGAGGCCCUGAGUUUGAUUUCCGGUACCAAAAAAACCAAAAAGAAUUUCCUUCCUUUUUAAGGCUGAGUAAUGUUCCGUUGUAUCUACAAACUGUGUUUUGUUCAUCCAUUCAUUCAUAAGUAGACAUGUGGGUUGAUUUUACAUCCUGGCCAUUAUGAAUAAUGCUGCCGUGAACAGGAUCAUGAAAAUCUUUCCUCAAGAACCUGCUUUCAAUUCUUUUGGCCAUAUAGCCAGGAGUGGAAUUCCUGAAUCUUGUGGUGAUUUUAUAUCUAACUUUUUAAGAAACUAUCUCUCUCUCUCUCUCUCUCUCUCUCUUUUUUUUUUUUUGGUACCGGGGAUCAAACUCGGGACCUUGCACUUGCGAGGCAGGUGGUGGAACCACUGAGCUAAAUCCUUAGCACUUCUUAAGAAACUGCCAUGCUGUUUUCCACAAGAGCUACACCAUUUUACAUUCUCACCAGCAAUGUACAAGGUUCCAAAUUUCUCCACAUUCUCAUCAACAUUUAUCUUCCCCUUCCCCUUCUUCCUCUUCUUCCUCUUCUUCCUCUUCUUCUUCCUCUUCUUCCUCUUCCUCCUCCUCUUCCUCCUCCUCCUCCUCUUCUUCU